UACGAAAGGGGCUAGCGUUGCUCGGAAUUACUGGGCGUAAAGGGCGCGUAGGCGGGUACUUAAGUCAGAGGUCAAAUCCCAGGGCUCAACUCUGGAACUGCCUUUGAUACUGGGUACCUAGAGUUCGGGAGAGGUGUGUGGAACUCCGAGUGUAGAGGUGAAAUUCGUAGAUAUUCGGAAGAACACCAGUGGCGAAGGCGACACACUGGCCCGAUACUGACGCUGAGGCGCGAAAGCGUGGGGAGCAAACAGG
This 253-nucleotide ribosomal RNA is filed under the name uncultured bacterium. RNAcentral's name for it is "partial 16S ribosomal RNA". It matches the Rfam family "Bacterial small subunit ribosomal RNA", at positions 524 to 776 of the family's 1533-position model. The record is from RNAcentral.